Molecule: ribosomal RNA, 474 nt
Filed under: uncultured Paracoccaceae bacterium
Lineage: Bacteria; Pseudomonadati; Pseudomonadota; Alphaproteobacteria; Rhodobacterales; Paracoccaceae
Description: bacterial SSU rRNA
Rfam family: Bacterial small subunit ribosomal RNA
Source: RNAcentral
UAGGGUUUGAUUAUGGCUCAGAACGAACGCUGGCGGCAGGCCUAACACAUGCAAGUCGAGCGCGCCUUUCGGGGUGAGCGGCGGACGGGUUAGUAACGCGUGGGAACGUACCCUUUUCUGCGGAAUAGCCUUCUGGAAACGGAGAGUAAUACCGCAUACGCCCUUUGGGGGAAAGAUUUAUCGGAGAAGGAUCGGCCCGCGUUAGAUUAGAUAGUUGGUGGGGUAACGGCCUACCAAGUCUACGAUCUAUAGCUGGUUUUAGAGGAUGAUCAGCAACACUGGGACUGAGACACGGCCCAGACUCCUACGGGAGGCAGCAGUGGGGAUCUUGGACAAUGGGCGCAAGCCUGAUCCAGCCGUGCCGCGUGAGUGAAGAAGGCCUUAGGGUCGUAAAGCUCUUUCGCCUGUGAUGAUAAUGACAGUAGCAGGUAAAGAAACCCCGGCUAACUCCGUGCCAGCAGCCGCGGUAAUACA